This 435-nucleotide ribosomal RNA is filed under the name uncultured bacterium. RNAcentral's name for it is "bacterial SSU rRNA". It matches the Rfam family "Bacterial small subunit ribosomal RNA", at positions 366 to 793 of the family's 1533-position model. The record is from RNAcentral.
GCACAAUGGGCGCAAGCCUGAUGCAGCCAUGCCGCGUGUGUGAAGAAGGCCUUCGGGUUGUAAAGCACUUUCAGUAAGGAGGAAAGGUUAAGUGUUAAUAGCGCUUAGCUGUGACGUUACUUACAGAAGAAGCACCGGCUAACUCCGUGCCAGCAGCCGCGGUAAUACGGAGGGUGCGAGCGUUAAUCGGAAUUACUGGGCGUAAAGCGUACGCAGGCGGUUUGUUAAGCGAGAUGUGAAAGCCCCGGGCUCAACCUGGGAACUGCAUUUCGAACUGGCAAACUAGAGUGUGAUAGAGGGUGGUAGAAUUUCAGGUGUAGCGGUGAAAUGCGUAGAGAUCUGAAGGAAUACCGAUGGCGAAGGCAGCCACCUGGGUCAACACUGACGCUCAUGUACGAAAGCGUGGGGAGCAAACAGGAUUAGAUACCCUGGUAG